Long non-coding RNA from Amblyraja radiata (thorny skate), 387 nucleotides. RefSeq lists it as uncharacterized. The transcript has 2 exons. The record is from RefSeq and is a predicted model, not a curated record. Lineage: Eukaryota; Metazoa; Chordata; Chondrichthyes; Rajiformes; Rajidae.
CCGAGGCGGGAUCUGUGAGGGAAUAUAAAGACCUCUCCCUCUCACCGGCCUCACUCACAUUGACACAGGAGCGGCAGAGAAGAUGAAGACAACCUCCUGCUUAUUGCUCGCAGUUCUCACUGUCUUCCUUCUGAUCCAUUCCAUCGACUGUGAGGAGGAGCUCACUUUCUGCAAGACGGUGUACGGAGCGUGCAGAGAAGAGCCAUGCUAUGAGCACGAGGUCGAAAAACCUGGUGACUGCGAUAUCCACAAGUGUUGUGAGAUCUUUCCCGUCUCAUAGAAGGGGCAAGACGUCUGGAAGAUUCUCCAGGACUCCAGCGGUGGGCUCCCCCCCCAACUUGUGAUGUCACCGUCCACAAUGUGUGAUUAAAGCCUGCUUCCCCACCA